Molecule: unclassified non-coding RNA, 214 nt
Filed under: Genolevuria amylolytica
Lineage: Eukaryota; Fungi; Basidiomycota; Tremellomycetes; Tremellales; Bulleraceae
Description: partial internal transcribed spacer region
Rfam family: Eukaryotic small subunit ribosomal RNA (bases 1-46)
Source: RNAcentral
AAGUCGUAACAAGGUUUCCGUAGGUGAACCUGCGGAAGGAUCAUUAUAGAUUGGCCGAAAGGCCGUGUCUUCAUCCACACACACCGUGAACAAACCAAGGUCUGGCAGUACGUGAACGCGAGUUUGCAUGCCAGGCCCCAACACAAACAAAAUGUAAAGAAUGUAAACUAUCGUAACAAAAACAAAACUUUCAACAACGGAUCUCUUGGCUCUC